RNAcentral lists this ribosomal RNA (489 nucleotides) under uncultured crenarchaeote. RNAcentral describes it as "bacterial SSU rRNA". It matches the Rfam family "Archaeal small subunit ribosomal RNA", at positions 436 to 922 of the family's 1478-position model. Lineage: Archaea; Thermoproteati; Thermoproteota. The record is from RNAcentral.
UAAGCGGGGGGCAAGUCUGGUGUCAGCCGCCACGGUAAUACCAGCCCCGCGAGUGGUCGGGGUGUUUAUUGGGCCUAAAGCGGCCGUAGCCGGCCCGGUAAGUCCUCCCUGAAAGCCCCAGGCUCAACCUGGGGAGCGGGAGGAUACUGCCGGGCUAGAGGGCGGGAGAGGCCGAGGGUACUCCCGGGGUAGGGGCGAAAUCCUGUAAUCCCGGGAGGACCACCAGUGGCGAAGGCGCUCGGCUGGAACGCGCCUGACGGUGAGGGCCGAAAGCCGGGGGAGCGAACCGGAUUAGAUACCCGGGUAGUCCCGGCUGUAAACGAUGCGGGCNANNNNNUANGGCGGGGNNGGGGAGAGCCCGCCUAGUACCGCAGGGAAGCCGUUAAGCUCGCCGCCUGGGGAGUACGGCCGCAAGGCUGAAACUUAAAGGAAUUGGCGGGGGAGCACACAAGGGGUGGAGCCUGCGGCUUAAUUGGAUUCAACGCCGGA